This 1223-nucleotide long non-coding RNA is filed under the name Equus caballus (horse). RNAcentral's name for it is "lncRNA (ENSECAG00000057260.1)". Lineage: Eukaryota; Metazoa; Chordata; Mammalia; Perissodactyla; Equidae. The record is from RNAcentral.
UCGAAUUCCUGUAGAGAUCAGGCCAUGAUAUAGAUGAGUAAAGCAGGCCCAGAGAUCUCACCCUCCUCUUUCUUGAAACCAGCAGUAGUCUGCUGUCUUUAGUUUUUCUGUUUUUGAUAGAGACAUGGGUAUGGGAAAAAGGUUCUUCCCUGCGAGGAAAAGCACAGUGCAAUGAACUUGAUAAAAGGCGGUUGACUGUUUCCAUGGUGCUGACCAGCCCCGGCGCUGGAACACUGGGUUCCACACUGCCCUCUGCUGGCCCUCUUCCUCCCAGCCAAGCUUGCCUUUUAGGGGUUUAUUUCCUCAUUCUUCACCAAAUUUUCCAUCAGUUUGCGUGCUUUGAGUUAGAUAAAAUGACUCCACAGACCAGCAUUAUGAAGAUGAGACCUCGUUGAAUUGUAGAAAUGCCACUGAGCCCUGGGAACCUGGAAUCAGGACAGACCAGAGAAAAUAGACAAUGCUCGUCUCAAUUUGGACUCACCAUGUAUCAAGUUGGACUCACCAUGUAUCAAGUUGGACUCGCCAGAGAAAACCCUUCCUGAGGAUGCUGAGAAAUCCUCCGUCUUCGUGGGAGGGCUCACUGGAGCAUAUUCCGGAAAUGGACGAGGGAGGGAGGUCAGCUCAUUUCGGCCGAUGGUAACUCCAGCCUGACUUAAAUCAGUCAGUUCUGCUAAGAAACAGGCUCCGUGAGUGCCCGGAGGUCAAGGUGGUAUAAAAGCCACCUGCCGUGCUCAUGCCCUGGCUGCCGGAUCAGCCCUGUGGCCAUCGGCGGUCCCACACUGCUGGCUGUCUGUCCAGUCACCUUCUGAGGCAGGACAUGAAAGAGCUGCACCUGCAAUCUGUGUGGCUGUCCACGGGCCCUUUCACCACCUCCAUGAAAGCCAGCAUCUUUUGCAAGACACUCAUUUCCCUUUGCAGCCAUUUGCAGUAUUUCAGCACUGUGUUGUCCACUAUUUACAACAGCAGACCAUCCGGGGAAGAAUUCAUGAACAAAGACUUGACUUUAUGUGUUGGGUGGACCCAGCCAGGAGGCUGUGGGAGUGGGGACGCAUUUGUAUUAGUGGUCAGAUUUUUAGUAAAUAUUUAAUCUUAUGAUGACUUUUGCCUUCCUAAGCAGUAUGGCAACAUGAGGAAAUCCCAUGAUCAAUUGGAUAACAGAGAUCUGUUAUGUUAAAUAAAUCUGGUGGACUGAAUUCCAACGACUUCCAACUUAACCCACUAUU